UACGAAGGGGGCUAGCGUUGUUCGGAAUUACUGGGCGUAAAGCGUAUGCAGGCGGAUCGUUAAGUCGGGGGUGAAAUCCCGAGGCUCAACCUCGGAACUGCCUUCGAUACUGGCGAUCUUGAGUCCGGGAGAGGUGAGUGGAACUCCGAGUGUAGAGGUGAAAUUCGUAGAUAUUCGGAAGAACACCAGUGGCGUAGGCGGCUCACUGGCCCGGUACUGACGCUGAGAUACGAAAGCGUGGGGAGCAAACAGG
RNAcentral lists this ribosomal RNA (253 nucleotides) under uncultured bacterium. Its description in RNAcentral is "partial 16S ribosomal RNA". It matches the Rfam family "Bacterial small subunit ribosomal RNA", at positions 524 to 776 of the family's 1533-position model. The record is from RNAcentral.